AAGAGAAAUAAUGUUAUAAAAUAAAGCUGCUAACUUUAUAUUGGGCAUUUCAUAUAUGUCCUUCUCUUU
RNAcentral lists this transfer RNA (69 nucleotides) under Bolitaena pygmaea. RNAcentral's name for it is "tRNA-Ser". The record is from RNAcentral. Lineage: Eukaryota; Metazoa; Mollusca; Cephalopoda; Octopoda; Bolitaenidae.